AUAGACAUACAAGAAGCUCCUUUCUAUGAGAGAGUCUUAGUUGGUAUUGGAAAACUAUUCUCUGAAAUGAUUAAACACAGGGAGAUGGCUGAGAUGGGAUUGAAGUCAGGAAAGAUUCAAGACCUAGCUACCCUUAAAGCUGUUGCUGAGCACAUCCAGUCCGAAACGCAUGGAAACAACCCCCGGAGGGUCUAUAAAAAGAAAGAGGAGGAUGUUUCCUUGAUACUACAAGGUCAGAAAGGCAAUCAGAAUAUGCCUAUUCAGAGGAGAAAUUACUCCCCUUUUAAAGCUCAGCCUUCAAACCCUCCAUUACCUAAAGGUGGAGAAGUCAAAC
RNAcentral lists this long non-coding RNA (334 nucleotides) under Panax ginseng (ginseng). RNAcentral's name for it is "long non-coding RNA (PGIN_LNC014618)". Lineage: Eukaryota; Viridiplantae; Streptophyta; Magnoliopsida; Apiales; Araliaceae. The record is from RNAcentral.